ACAAUAUAAUCAUGAUACAUAUUCAUUUAAAAAUGUAUUCACAUGAAAUAACACAUACAAUAAUUUCAAAAUGUAUCUGAUUAUAAAUGUAUAAAUCUCUUAAUUUGUAACUGCUCAAGUGUCUGCAUGUUAUAUACAAGUGAAUGGCACUCAUUAAUGUCCUUUAUUGUUUUAGACAUCACUAAUUAGGGAUCCUUAAACACAUUAUAUUCUGGAAUGGCUAAACUGUUAAUGAAAAUCUACUUCUUAGAUAAUAUGAGCUUUAAAAUUUGUUUCCAUCUUUAUGAUAUACAUCUUUGACAUGGGAUUAUUCACUUAAUAUUUGCCCUAAUUUUUGAAUUAAUUUGGCAGAAGUCCUCCAAUCCACCAUCAGCGAGACCGAACUCCUCCAGUCCAGCUACAGAUAAGCUGCUGACCCAUUUCAGAGGAGGAACAUUGGCCAUGACCCAAAAGGACCACUAAAUCCUCAACUUUUCUGCGGUGAGAAAAAUUCCCUAACAAAAAAAACGGUCAUAUCCAGAGAUGGCUUCAGCUUGCUCCGGAUUGGGAUGGAGGAAGAAGAGAACGGCUGAAGAGAAAGGAGAUGAUAAAUAGCUGUGCCUCUCAUUUAGAGCCAUAAUAGCUUAUGCGUGCGAACACAUACGAAAUACAUUCAUUUCCUUUUCAUGUGCACACACGCAGUUAUGUGUUAUGUUGUUUAUAAAGUUUAAUUUUGUCUUUCUUUGGUUUAUAACGUUUUCAUUUAGUCCGUAUUCGGUUUCAUUUUUUCAAGUGUUAAGGUACUGUUCAUUUAAAGUCUAAAGGUUUCCGUUUUACAUAAAAAUAUGUUCAACACAAUGUGUUCACUUUAUUUUUAUUUGUAAAUAAAAAAUGUUUAUUGAAAAACAAUUCAGGUAUUGGAAGUUAUUUUUUCACAUGAUUUUGGCAAUCAUAGGCUGUACUAUGGCUAAAUUUGGGGGUCUCUUUUUAAAAGCCGGCAUUGAUCUGGUUUACUUCUGGCUACGAUACGGCACCCAGUAUUAAACCUACUCUGGGCCAGUUCAGGGCCAGUUAUGGCUUAUUAAUUGGCGGAGGCUCGGACCAGUUGCGGCCCAUAUCUGGUCAUGGUCUGUAAUUUGGAUCUGGGCCACCCUAGGGCCGUCAUUCAAUGUUGUAUGUGGGCCGAGGGAAAAGUAUUGGUGUGGGCCGGAGCUGGGCCAACACAAAAUUGUUAUGUGGGACUGUGUGUACUGCAUGUGUGAAAACCCAUCUGAUUUUCAUGUUUUUCAUUCCAAUGUAAAUUUUAACAUUUUAAAAACUGCCAUUCUUGUCUCGCAGGUCAUCAUGCAGAAAAGGGUAUUUUUUUUUUCCUGGAAGGGUUAAGGUUGCGUUUCGUAAGGGACCGCUGGGAUAUCUUCUGCAGGAUCCAACUGACCAGGCCAGAACGAUAAAAAACAACCCAUCUUUGCAGGACAAGUUGGCACCAAUUAAGCACGAGCUUGUCAAACAAAAAUCCUCUGAAUGUGGUGCGUCAAAGAGGAGGUGAUGCCUCAGACCAAAAAUACGUUUUUUGUGAGUAUAUCCUGCAGUUGGGGAAAUACAAGGGGAAGUCCUUCCGGUUGCUCCUUGAAAAUGAUGUGGGGUACACCAUCUACCUGAUGAAGACCCUUCAGCAAGAAGAGGCUGCAGGAGUCACAAUGACAGAGGGCCACAGCUUUGGAUAAAUUCUGUCUCUUUUACACUACACGUCCAAAACUCCAGCUGCACCUGCGGGAUCACCAGACGACGAUCAGCUGGUUGGUUUCGGAGCUCGUGCCAAGACUACAUGGAAGGAGAUUUGGGACGGCAGAGCUGAUGGUUACGCUUCCUUUAUAGUGGGGGCUAAGUGUGUCCGAGGGACACGGAUGCAUUAACUGCAACAAUACUUGCUGAAGCAGCAGUCUGCCCGUCCGCAUGUGCCUGCCACAUCUGAGCCCACAGAGAUGGAUGGAGACGCUGAGCUGGAGACUGCAAUGCUGAACAUCACCCCCUCUUAGCUACUGGUGCAGUUGCCAGCAUCAUCUGCAUCCUCAGCUGCUGAAGUAAAACACUCCACAGAAACAACGACAGUGUGUUGGCCGUGUCCCUAACAAAUCUGUGUGCUGUUGGCAUUAUACUAAUUGUUCAAGGGGCUAUGAAUUGAUUCCCCCACCACGAUGAACUGAUAAACCCCCAUUCUGGAACCAUCUACUGUCCUUUCGAAACCACUGAUGGGCACUAGAAAGGAACUGCGUCUGUCUCCUGUGCAAGAAAAGGAGGUAUGCAGACAACCCAAAGUGGCUGGAAAAGUUCCCCAAAAGGUUUACAAAUGUACUGACAGCAACUCUUACUUACAAGAAGGCCAUCUGUAAAUCUGUGAUGGAUGAGCUGCGGCGCACCGGAAAAUCACCCUCGGACAUGCCCAACCAGGAUCCAUUACCACUUUGCCUGCCUCCUUGCUGUCCUCAUGCCAUGGUGGUGAUGUGGAUCUUCCGCCUAAGCCAGAAUAUGCUGAUACGCUACCUGUGUCAUCGUUUUACCGUGCCUGCAAAGAGCCUCAGUCAGAGCCAGGAACAACACAUGUACCGCCUCUGCCUAUGGUGGCCUCACCUGCGAGCGCUCGUACUGGACCUGUGAAGACUGGUGGAAGGGUGUUUGUGCUAGACCACAAACGGUGGACAACGCCAAUGAAGGAGGCAAUUGACAACCUGCUUACUGAACAUCAUGGGAAGAAGGAUAUGCUUAAACUUGUGGAUCAGGAGUAUGCAGCAAUUGUCCAUAACUCCAGUACUGAUCCCAAGCAUGCUCCAUCCUACUUCAAAACUGCACAUAGCUCAGUAUGUCAAGCACUUGGCCAAAUUGCUAAACACCAGUUCUUGGUUAAAUACUUCUCCUGAAAAACUACUUCAGACACAGCGACUGUGGCACUCUCUGACAGAGGGGAGCGAGACUACUAGUGUGCCAGUGGUUACAAUUAAUCCUGCAGUUGUAAACCCAACAGCACUUGCUCUGACCAAACCACUUUCACACGCAACCAUUGAGAGGAUCGUUGAGGGUAUUAUGGAGAAGCAUCAACAACAACAACCAGAAUAAAAAAAAAGAAACAGAUGAAGACUUGUGUUGCCUGCAGACAGCCCAAGUCUCGCUAUGAAAGUGAUGGCUCCUCCAUCCAUUUUUUUUUACCAGCAAGGACCUGUUAGGUACUUCUACUGUUCCACCAAGGUUUUUAAGGCUUAUAGUGGUGAAGGGCUGACAAAUCCCAUAAUGCCUUUUAAAGAUUUUACGGAAACAGAGAGGGAACUGAAUGACACAAAAAAAGGGUGGAAGAGAAGGGACAGCAAAAACGAAAAAUGCCUGAAUCUCCACAUGUAGGUCGCCUGUGUAGGUUUUCUAACAUGGAACUCAAACAAGGUCCACACAUACAUACGGGCUUUCCUGGAAUUGCCUGGAAAUAUGUUUACUGUCCUGCUAAAGUAUUUUCCAUAUACAGAAAGCAGGGUAUGGAGAAAGAGAUGACCUGGAAAGACUUUCAAAAGUCUACAUUUUACAAUAUGGAAAGACAGCGAUGGGUUUCUGGAAAGAGUAAAUGACAAUUUUCCACGUGUAAAUAUCUUUUGCUUGUUUGCUUUGCCUUUUAAAACGUUGAGAAUUUUUUAUUUUUUUAAAAGCACUUAUCUUGUACUCUGGUUUUUAUAUUUAUAUAUAUAUAAAUAAAUGGCAAAUAUUUUCAACAUGAUGUAAAAUAUAUUUGAUUUACAAAUGUAAUAUCACUACAAAGGUAAGAGACAUGUAUUGUAAUUGGAGUUUAAAUACAAAUACUCUUCAUGAAUGUAUUCACAUUUAGUGCUGUUAAAAUUAUUAUUUUAUGUUAAUUUCUCCCACCACAUAUGGAUGUUUAAAAUGUUUAAAGUUUUUUUCUGAUGGCUUAAGCACAUUUUUUGUAACUAUUGCCUAUUUUUGCAAAACUGCACACAAAAAUAAGA
Triplophysa dalaica is the source of this 3980-nucleotide long non-coding RNA. RefSeq lists it as uncharacterized. The record is from RefSeq and is a predicted model, not a curated record. The transcript is spliced from 9 exons. Lineage: Eukaryota; Metazoa; Chordata; Actinopteri; Cypriniformes; Nemacheilidae.